AGAGUUUGAUCAUGGCUCAGGAUGAACGCUGGCGGCGUGCCUAACACAUGCAAGUCGAACGUGAAACUGACCUUGAUUCCUUCGGGAUGAAAAGGUUAGCGGAAAGUGGCGAACGGGUGAGUAACGCGUGGGUAAUCUACCCUGAAGUGGGGGAUAACCCUCCGAAAGGAGGGCUAAUACCGCAUAUGAUCUCCAGGAGGAAGUACCUGGAGAUUAAAGGCGGCCUCUGUCUUAAGCUGUCGCUUCAGGAUGAGCCUGCGUCCUAUUAGUUAGUUGGUAGGGUAAUGGCCUACCAAGACGACGAUGGGUAGCCGGUCUGAGAGGAUGUACGGCCACACUGGGACUGAGAUACGGCCCAGACUCCUACGGGAGGCAGCAGUGGGGAAUCUUGCGCAAUGGGGGAAACCCUGACGCAGCGACGCCGCGUGGACGAUGAAGACCUUCGGGUUGUAAAGUCCUGUUCUGGGGGAAGAAGUCUUAAGGAGCUAAUACCUCCCUAAGUUGACGGUACCCCAGGAGAAAGCUCCGGCUAAUUAUGUGCCAGCAGCCGCGGUAAUACAUAAGGAGCAAGCGUUAUCCGGAAUUAUUGGGCGUAAAGAGCUCGUAGGCGGUCUUAAAAGUCAGGUGUGAAAUGAUCAGGCUCAACCUGAUAAGGUCAUCUGAAACUUUAAGACUUGAGGAUAGGAGAGGAAAGUGGAAUUCCCGGUGUAGCGGUGAAAUGCGUAGAUAUCGGGAGGAAC
RNAcentral lists this ribosomal RNA (740 nucleotides) under uncultured bacterium. RNAcentral's name for it is "bacterial SSU rRNA". It matches the Rfam family "Bacterial small subunit ribosomal RNA", at positions 8 to 707 of the family's 1533-position model. The record is from RNAcentral.